GCUGCUUCAGUAUCGGAGGGACUGUGCUGAAUCCUGUGCAAUCAACAAACAUGUCUAUUUCUGACUUUAUCAAGAAGGGAAGGUCAUUUGUGAGGCAGCUGAAUUUUGCAGUAUGAUUAAGUAUAGGAAAGAGGAGAGGGCAUGAAAGAGACAGAAGAGGAACAUGGGGGAUAUGAGGGAGCAUGUGUUCUGCAUUGAGAGAGAAGACUUUAAGAGCUGACCUUUAUUAUUAAAGCUGGACCAAUGUCCCUGAAAACCGAGACUAACCCGCCCCGGCUGUCUUAUGCCUGUCUUCAAUUUGCCUCUGCCUCCCCCAGAUAUACAACGUUACAGACGAUUUCUGAAUAAGGGGUGGAGCACACCAUUGGAAAAAGAUUAAUGAGUGCAUCACAAACACAAGUGCCAUGAUACGUCUUGUAUUUGGAUUGAUACCUUUCGAUCUCCAUAGAGAAAUUUACAACUGCUUCAAGAAUCAAACAUAGCAGGCAACAGAGUAUAUGUUGCCCCUGACCAACGGCUUGCCUAUUCAGUCUUCUACUUAGGAGGAAGGAACUUCUCAUUUUUGCUCUUCAGAAACACAAUGAAGUGCAGCAAACUACUCUCUUGCUCUUGGCUGGCAGCAAAUUACAUGUUGGCAUGUGUCAAGAGGUCUUGUCUCAACAUUCCUCCUCACUCUAGGCUGCAGAACUAACAUUACCUUUCUCCUGCUGCAAUACCAGCACUCUAUUGCGUAAUUUUGUGCAAGACAGAGCAGACCAUUAACAUUCAAGAAAUAUUUGCCAGUGCACGUGGAACAACACACUGGAUCAGUUCAAAGUUGCAUCUUCAGCAAACCAAUGCCUUUCUCAAUGAUUGAUCUUGUGCUGUCAUGGCUCCAGUGAUAACUUGCUUCUGCAGCUAUUGUGGGGCCCCCACUGCCUCAUCCUCAUGAUAUGCUUUGUCACCGAGAGACACCCGGUGAUUCUGGUUGGAAAUGUGAAGCUGUCGUCAAAUCAUAGACUCUCUACAGAUAGAGGCCAUUCAACCCAUUGAUCAUGCACCAACCUUGUGAAAAGCAACACAUCCAUAUUUACUGAAGAAUGGUCCAGACCUGAAAUGUCAGCUUUCCUGCUCCUCUGAUGCUGCCUGGCCUGCUGAGUUCAUCCAGUUCCACACCUUGUUAUCACGUCCAUAUUUACCAUGGCUAAACCACCUAACCUGCAUAUCCCUGGACUAUGGGAGUAGAUACACAUGCAGACAUGGGGAGAAUCUGCAAACUCCACACAGACAGUCACCCGAGGCUAGAAUUGAACCAGGUUCCCUGGUGCUCUGAGGCAGCAGAACUGACCACUGUACCACCCUUGCCAUGUCUGGGGGAUGUAAUAGGCUAUUACAAAUAUACAGAAUAAAUGAAAAAAUUCCAGUUGUUAGAACUGUACAAAAUUAGCAUUUCCAGCAAUUUUCUGAUUUCAUUUCAUAUUUCCAGUAUCAGCACUAUUGCUUUUCUAUCUAUUUAAGUCCUUGCUCUUGGAGCACAACCUGUUCCAGAGUGCUUCUUGCAUGUGGAGGUCACUGAAGCUGACUUUGAAUGUGGAACCUGCAACUGAAAAGGGAAGAUUGGGGCAGAGUUAAAACAUCAGUUUUUGCCUGGCCAUCACACCUCAUUCACUGGGCUCAGUAAAAUAUUUUCCAGUCAAAGCUAUAGGCACAACCUCUUAAAUAUGCAGAAAUAGUAAGUAUUUGGCCUCAAUAAAAAGAGUCAAGAUUUACUAAAAGCCAAAUAAAAGCACUCAGACACAGAGGGUUUCAUUUUUGUUUCAGUGCUUGUACAAUGGCAUUGGGACAAAACAGAUCAUAUAUCCAAAUUUCAUUUCCAUUUCAUUUAAUGGUCCUUUUCAUGCCAUUCUUGCAUAAGCUGUGAAGUUGAAAAUUUCCACAAAGGAGAAAAUGACCCACAAAGAAGGAGUAAGAUACAGAAAGAAUGUCUGAUAUCUGGAGAAACAGAAGUUCUGUUAUCAGGGCAAGAUGAAGGAAAAAUGCACAUGAGGAGAGAUAACUGAGGCAGAAGGGAAAAGUGGUGAAGAGAGAAUCAAAAGGACAUUCAGUAACAGUAAGUGCUGUACUACAAUAAUAAACAGAGAAACUGGAAAAUAGUGCACAAAGUGCUAGAGAAAGUUGAACCACAAACACAUAUAUAACAAUAACAUAUUUGUAUGGUAAACCUUGUAUUAUUCUGUAAAUCUCUGUCAACUAGAAUUCUUUUGUAAACAGGAUUUCUUGCAGUUCAAUUUAUUAAUAAAAGAUGACCAUUUUCAAUGUUCAAAUAAUGCAAUCUAUAAAAAAUACUAAUCAUAACUCUAACCUGCACAUCUGCAGAAAUUGUCCUUAGCUUUUUGAUU
Molecule: long non-coding RNA, 2378 nt
Organism: Stegostoma tigrinum
Lineage: Eukaryota; Metazoa; Chordata; Chondrichthyes; Orectolobiformes; Stegostomatidae
Exons: 3
Source: RefSeq, a predicted model, not a curated record